This 408-nucleotide ribosomal RNA is filed under the name uncultured bacterium. RNAcentral describes it as "partial 16S ribosomal RNA". It matches the Rfam family "Bacterial small subunit ribosomal RNA", at positions 28 to 526 of the family's 1533-position model. The record is from RNAcentral.
GACGAACGAUGGCGGCGUGCUUAACACAUGCAAGUCGAACGAAGUGGCGAAAGGGUGAGUAAUACGUGGGUAACCUGCCCUCCUUUUGGGGAUAAGCCUGGGAAACGGGGUCUAAUACCGACAAAAGGGGGAUGGGUUGGCGGCCUUUCAGCUUGUUGGUGGGGUGAUGGCCUACCAAGGCGGUGACGGGUAGCCGGCCUGAGAGGGUGACCGGCCACAUUGGGACUGAGAUACGGCCCAGACGACUACGGGAGGCAGCAGUGGGGGAUAUUGCACAAUGGGCGAAAGCCUGAUGCAGCGACGCCGCGUGGGGGAUGAAGGCUUUCAGGUUGUAAACCUCUUUAGCUAUCGAACGGUUACUUGGAGAAGAAGCGCCGGCUAACUACGUGCCAGCAGCCGCGGUAAUAC